GUGUCAGCCGCCGCGGUAAAACGUAGGACGCGAGCGUUAUCCGGAUUUACUGGGCGUAAAGCGCAUGCAGGCGGCCUUGUAAGUCGGAUGUGAAAUCUCCCGGCUCAACUGGGAGGCGUCAUUCGAUACUGCAAGGCUUGAGGGCAGGAGAGGGGAGUGGAAUUCCCGGUGUAGUGGUGAAAUGCGUAGAUAUCGGGAGGAACACCGGAGGCGAAGGCGGUCUUCUGGGCCUCUCCUGACACUGAGGCACGAAAGCUAGGGGAGCGAACGGGAUUAGAUACCCCGGUAGUCCUAGCCGUAAACGAUGGGCACUAGAUGUUCCCACAUUUUGUGGGAGUGUCGAAGCUAACGCGUUAAGUGCCCCGCCUGGGGAGUACGGUCGCAAGGCUGAAACUUAAAGGAAUUGACGGGG
This 412-nucleotide ribosomal RNA is filed under the name uncultured prokaryote. Its description in RNAcentral is "partial 16S ribosomal RNA". It matches the Rfam family "Bacterial small subunit ribosomal RNA", at positions 505 to 918 of the family's 1533-position model. The record is from RNAcentral.